AACGAACGCUGGCGGCAUGCCUAACACAUGCAAGUCGAACGAGACCUUCGGGUCUAGUGGCGCACGGGUGCGUAACGCGUGGGAACCUGCCCUUAGGUUCGGAAUAACUCCCCGAAAGGGGUGCUAAUACCGGAUAAUGUCUUCGGACCAAAGAUUUAUCGCCUUUGGAUGGGCCCGCGUUGGAUUAGCUAGUUGGUAGGGUAAAAGCCUACCAAGGCGACGAUCCAUAGCUGGUCUGAGAGGAUGAUCAGCCACACUGGGACUGAGACACGGCCCAGACUCCUACGGGAGGCAGCAGUGGGGAAUAUUGGACAAUGGGGGAAAGCAUGAUCCAGCAAUGCCGCGUGAGUGAUGAAGGCAUUAGGGUUGUAAAGCUCUUUUACCCGGGAUGAUAAUGACAGUACCGGGAGAAUAAGCUCCGGCUAACUCCGUG
Molecule: ribosomal RNA, 433 nt
Filed under: uncultured bacterium
Lineage: Bacteria
Description: partial 16S ribosomal RNA
Rfam family: Bacterial small subunit ribosomal RNA
Source: RNAcentral